UACAGAGGUGGCAAGCGUUGUUCGGAAUUACUGGGCGUAAAGGGCGCGUAGGCGGCCUUCUAAGUCAGACGUGAAAUCCCCCGGCUUAACCUGGGAAUUGCGUCUGAUACUGGAGGGCUUGAGUGCGGGAGAGGGAUGUGGAAUUCCAGGUGUAGCGGUGAAAUGCGUAGAUAUCUGGAGGAACACCAAUGGCGAAGGCAACUUCCUGGGGCAAUACUGACACUGAUGUGCGAAAGCGUGGGGAGCAAACAGG
Molecule: ribosomal RNA, 253 nt
Filed under: uncultured bacterium
Lineage: Bacteria
Description: partial 16S ribosomal RNA
Rfam family: Bacterial small subunit ribosomal RNA
Source: RNAcentral